Felis catus (domestic cat) is the source of this 85-nucleotide transfer RNA. It matches the Rfam family "tRNA". Rfam says of the family: Transfer RNA (tRNA) molecules are approximately 80 nucleotides in length. Their secondary structure includes four short double-helical elements and three loops (D, anti-codon, and T loops). Lineage: Eukaryota; Metazoa; Chordata; Mammalia; Carnivora; Felidae. The record is from Rfam.
GCCUGGGUGGUUCAGAUGGUUGAGCGUCUGACUUCGGCUCAGGUCAUGAUCUCGCGGUUCGUAGGUUCGAGCCCUGCGUCGGGCU